Molecule: long non-coding RNA, 7460 nt
Organism: Gasterosteus aculeatus aculeatus (three-spined stickleback)
Lineage: Eukaryota; Metazoa; Chordata; Actinopteri; Perciformes; Gasterosteidae
Source: Ensembl
CCCUAGUACUUAAAUAUAAUCUGGUACUACUGUGGUAUAUGUGACCCUAGUACUUAAAUAUAAUCUGGUACUACUGUGGUAUAUGUGACCCUAAUAGUCAGUUAAUAAAAAACGUGUAGAACAUGACAUAAAGUAAACAUUUAAAACAGUACAAACAGAAUAAAAAGAACAAUAAUAGUAAUCAAUGGUACAGUACCUGGUGCAGUUCAAGGGUAAGGAUGUAUCUUGCAUUGCAUUUGUAAUUAACAAAGAAGGAUCAGAUGAGUGUAAAAGCAAUGGAAAACGUUAAAUGGUUGCCUGAGGUGCAGGUUUAAUAGUUUUUAAAUGACAGACUAUUAACUGUAUGGAUUAUAUUAGGAGGUAGUACAUCCCAGGCAUUAAAAAAUGUUCUAGGAUUGGAGGUAUUAUGUGACCUAAACUAGCAUUCCUUGUGUAAUGGUUAUGUCUACUACUACUACUACGUAUAUUGUAACUGAUUGUAAACAUAUUCAGGUGUCUGAUUAAAUACUACCUUUCUGAAAACAUGGGAUGGCUUUGGGGAAGUUUGAUUUCCAAUGACCACCAUGACAGGCAAGAGUGCAUAUAUAUACUGUAUUAGUUCUUAUUGAACACUGGAAUGGCAGCACAGUUGUACUUUAUUUGUGUUCUUCUUUCAGCUGCUGACCAUAUGAAUAGACAGUAUAGCAAGUAAAAAAAGACCAAGGACUGUAACACCUGGCAAACAAUAUGGUGUAAAAAUAAAAUAAUAAAGUGUUAAAUAGGCAAAGCACAUUAUGGUCAUUGCUACAUCUCUUCCCAUUUCAUUCACAAUGCUGCCAAUGUGCUUAGACCACUGUUCGUCCAACACUAGACCAGUAGCUGGGUGCUUUUGACCUCUUCUAUGGCCAAACCUGACAUAAACAGGUGAAGCUGUGCGUCACCAUUAAUGUUCCUUAAGCCAAACACAAUACUUUUAAUUUUAGAAAUGUUCAGGGCUAGUUCAUUCGCUUUCACCCAAUCAGCCACUCUUUCCAGGGUUUUUAUUAUUAUAAAAAUUAUAUUACAUCACAUGUCAUGUAGCUGACGCUUUUAUCCAAAGCGACUUACAAUAAGAACAUUUCAACCAUAAGGACACAAACUCAAAAGAACAAGAAAGUGUGAUUUCAUCAAACAAGCCGAUGUACAACUUGCUGUAGAUAAGAACCAUUAUAAGUCCAAUGUAAGUGCUACAGUUAGUGUGUUAGUGGAGGUAGAGUCUGAAGAGGUGUGUCUUUAGUCUGAAGAUGUGAAGGCUCUCUGUGGUCCUGAUGUAAGCUGGACCCCAUCCAUUCACAGCAUGGUACGUGAGCACCAUGUUUAGAACUGGAUGAGCCACCGGUACCAGUGAAGAGAGCGGAGGAGUGGAGGAGUGAGGGAGAACUUAGGAAGGUUAAAGACCAGUGGAGCUGCUGCAUUCUGGAUGAGCUGCAGAGGUGGAAUGGUGGUAGCAGGAGACCUGCAGGACAGAGCUGCAGUAGUCCAGGAGGGAGACGACAAGAGCCUGAAUCAGUACCUGUACUUGUUGAAGACGACCUAGAGAGUCACGUCUUUGUGUGUGGAAGUCGUUGGUUGGUUUAUUUAUUCAUCAUAGACUUUAUUGCCCCGUGCAUCCACACUGCUGCUUUUCAUCUCAGACACAUUUGUCCCGUAUUUUCCUCCACAACUUUGUUCCCCUCGACCGGCAAACCGACGUUUGCGGCGAUCUCCCUCCAUGAAUCCAACCCACUUAUACAACCCGCCAAUGACAAUGUUUUCUUCUAGCUGUCUUCCUGUUGUUGUCCACUACUUCACGUUGUCUUCAAGUUCUCUUGUAGUUGUUUUCCACUACUUCUCGUUAUCUGUUGUUAUCUGUUGUCUCCCUGUUGUCUUUCAGCUGUCAUCCUGCUGUUGUCCAGUGCUUUGCAUGUUCUUUGCAUUGUCUUCCAGUCGUCUUCCUGUUGUUGUCCACUACUUCCUAUUGUCUUACCGUUGUUUCCACGUUGUCUCCCAGUUGUCAUUCCAGUGUUUUAGUGUUGUCUUCUUGUUGGCUCCCCACUGUCUUCCAGUUGUCGUCCCCUACUUUCUAUUGUCUUCCUGUUGUCCCCAACUGUAUUCUCGUUGUUGUCCACCAUUUCCCGUUAUUGUCCCAUUGUUGUCACCUACCUAGCUUUGUUCCUUAAAUUAAAUAAUUCACUGCAGAAAACAAAGGAAGUCUGAUGUAGUUCAAUGAAAAAAGAUUUUUUCUCUGAUUUAACCUCUUUUCUUCAUGUUCUGAGACGCAUGCCACCGUGAUCGGCCAAACAGGGUCCAUCACAUCACACUAAUAGACUGCCAAAUGUACAACACACACACGCGCACACACACACACACACACAAUCGCACAGACACAGAGGGCGUUGACCUGCUAUUACUGAGCUUUUCUGCUUCACUGCAGGCUGGUAAUGAUGGUCUGUGUGUGUGUCUGUGUGUCCAGAAACUUGUAAUGUGUUGGUUGAGUAACUUAGUGAUUGACACACCGACCCAGAGAGAGACAGAGAGAGAGGGCCUUAUGGACUAACGCUUUUGCACCCACUUCAGGCGUAUUUGAUUCGCAACGUGCGCGUAAAAGCAUUGCGAAGUGCAAACAUGCCGCUCUGUGGUGAAAGCGCAGUUGCGGGAACUGAAAAUGGCAAAUUGCGCUUUCUCAUGUCAUGCUUUUACGUGCACGUUGCAAAACAAAUACGCUUGAAGUGGCUGCAAAAGCGUUAGUACAUGAGGCCCAGAGAGGGAGAGAAGCAGAGGGACAGAGUUCAGAAUCAGAUGGACAUCCAUAAAAUGGUUAAACACGCACACACCUAAACCCACAGACACACACAAACAGCAGGGUUUUAAUUAGUGAGUUUUAGUUGAGUGAUCAGCUCGUAAAGCUAACAAUGUUUGCUGCCCUCCGCAAAAGCAAAACACCUCAUUUAAUUCAACACACAUGCUCACAUACAGACAAACACAAAGACAUAAAUACAAACUCACACACGGCUGGAAAAUUAACCCAGUUUAAAUCCAUUUCAUUUUGUGCUUAUGGGAUGAAAUGUUCAGUCUGUGUGUCAACAAACAUAAGUUCAUUAAAACUCAAUUUUCUGCUGCAGCUUUCUGUAUUGACCCACCAGUCAUUAAGUCCCUCUGUUUUCAUAUUUAUUUAUAUAUUUAUAAAUAAGUUUACAACAAAUACAGCACAUGUUCAAAAUACCAUAUGUACGGUGUGUGUGUGUGUGAAAGAUAUAUCUGUACACACACCCUAAUAUAUAUAUAUAUAUAUAUAUAUAUAUAUAUACAGCAAAGGUCCUUGAAGAGAGACGUCUCUCCCGUCCCUGUUCCAGUGUCCCAGCUGUAGUGGUCUUGACACACGGACACUGGACCUGAUCCCAGAUCAGCAGCAGGAAACUCUCAAAAACCAAAAUCAGUUUUAAGAGAAUGUCUUUGUUUGAUGAAACCACAUGUUCUCGAUUCAUCUACAUUUUAGUCUCCCUUUUGCUCAGAAUCAGAGAUACGUGUCAUCACUUCUUCUUCAUGUCCUCUGUCCUGCACUUCCUGUCUCCGUCCCAGUGUCUAACUUUUCCACCUCCUCUCAUCCGUCUUCAUCUCUCGGUCUCUUCUGCGGUGUCUCUCGUCCGUCUCCAUCACUCCACAUUAGCUCCCUCUCUCCUCUAUUACCUCCCUCUCUCCUCCAUUAGUAACACCUGAAUCCUUCUAUUAGAUUGAGGAAGUCGGCCUCAUAAAUUCGCCGGCGUUCCUCCGCAGCCGAGCGCCGGCUCAGUGUUUUUGAUAAUGAAAGGAUCUGGGCUUAAAUUCACAUUACCUUUGUGAUGUACUUCAUGCUUGAUCAUAUCAGGCUCUUUGAUUUUAUUAACGUCUCUGAAUGGAUUUCUCGUUCUCUCUGCCCGUCCAUCUCCGUCUGUCGCCCCCCUCCCAACGUCUACUCCAACGAGGGCUUCGUCCUCCGAGGGGGGCGCUGAAGGUCGAGGGACUUGGGGUCGAGAGGCAGCAGACUGCCCGGCAGCUGCAAAGCAUGAUGGGAAACCUGCAAGGGCUUUACAUGAAUCAACAGAAGAACUCAGCGGACUCAAACAUGGUUAUUUGUAACGCACGCUGGCGGAGCGGCACAUUGAGACAAAGUAAAUAAAGUGCUGUAAUCACCACCCGGCUGGUACACGCAGUGACUCCGAUCAAACACACCCAAGGUGUUGAGGAUCAGCUCAGACACUGUGACAUCAUAAACAUAAAUAUCCUUGUUGCGUUUGACCUGCGUGUGUCCUCUGAGUCAAACCCGAGACCUGGAGGAGGUCUGUUAAAAUAACAAUCAGAGCUACUGUUUGUCCCUUAAUCGAUAAAUAUAAUUUGCAAUACGCUGCUAUCAGAUUUAAUGAGAAAAGAUUAACACACACACCCACACACACACAAAGCGCAUACAAAGCAAAAAUAAAGUGCACACAUACACGCGCACACACACAUGGAGUCAGUUAACCCAUUCUGACCUCUCUGCUGCUCUGCUGCUUUCCAACACACAACCUGUCAAACUGUCAGUGUGUGUGUGUGUGUGUGUGUAUAUUUCAUUAGUUUCAACAGUUUCAGAGUUUGAGGAUCGAUAUGCUUGAGUGUGUGAGUGUGUGUGUGUGUGUGUCUGUGUAAAGUAACAAAAGCACUUGUCAGAGGCACUGUCAGAAGUCCCGCCCCUGACUGUCUGUCAUAGUAUUUUGAUUGACAGCUCUUAACACAUGACAUCUUAUUGUGUUGUAGUUGAUUCAUUUUUAUUUAUUUAUUAAUAAAUUAAAUAUUCAUCUGAAGGAACCUGACGGUAAAAGGUCUGUGUGUUCUGUUCUGGUUGCUUAAAUAUCUGCAGAGCCAACGCACUACGAUCUACGAGCAAGUACGUUAGGAGAGGAGAGAAUUUAGAGCUAUAGGAGGAGGUUGUCAGUAGGGAGGUUCUAAGAGUCAGUGUGGAGGUUCUAAGAGUCAGUGGGGAGGUUCUUAGAGUCAGUGUGGAGGUUCUAAGAGUCAGUGUGGAGGUUCUAAGAGUUAGUGUGGAGGUUCUAAGUGUCAGUGGGGAGGUUCUUAGAGUCAGUGUGGAGGUUCUAAGAGUCAGUGGGGAGGUUCUUAGAGUCAGCGUGGAGGUUCUAAGAGUCAGUGGGGAGGUUCUUAGAGUCAGUGUGGAGGUUCUAAGAGUCAGUGAGGAGGUUCUGAGCAUCAGUGAGGAGGUUCUAAGAGUCAGUGAGGAGGUUCUAAGAGUUAUUAAAGAGCUUCCUGGGUCUUUAUUUUGUAUCUGCUGUUAACUAUGUUAAAGCGGGAAUAAGCAUUUUUACAGUAAUGGAGGAUGGUUGUACUGUUCCUUUGUGAAGCAGCUACUUUAAUGGAGCAUCAGGAAUCGAGAAUCAGGAACAUUCAUUGCGCGCCGUCAUUUGCGACCGGGCGCUGCUGCUACUUUUAUAGAAAUGCUAUUUAUGUAUUUCAUCAUCCGGCGGUCUGCACUGGACGCCCCGCGGGCCGUAUGUUUGACACCCCUGCACUAAGGGGUUAUUAAUGGCGAACAGUGGUACUGUUUCUUUAAGAAGCAGCUCCCUGAGACUUGACCUACCUGAAUAAAGGCUUUGAGUUCUACCUUCACUUUGCUCUUUACAGUCAUAUCUCCCUUUGUGUGAUGUAAAACGACUUUAUGGAGCUCGUAUCAUGAAAAUUGAUUAGUCGUACAGAAAAGAAGGUUAAUCGAGACCUUAAAUAAGAACUAUAACUCUCUCUCUCUCCACCAGGUUGGGAGGUGUCAUCCUCUGCUGCUUUAUGGAGAAACCAGACUUAACGAGGGCUAACAAAAUGUCAGCAGCCGACCAAUCAGGAGCCAGCAAUAGGACAGGGAGACUUAUUCGAGUGGGAAGUCUGAAGGAGUCAUUUCAGAGUGAGGAUUGAGAGGAGGAGGAGGAGGAAGAUCAGAAGGAGGAAGAAAAUUAUGAGGACAAGACAAUUAGAAGGUGGAAGAGUAGGAAAAGGAGAAGGAGUAGAAGGGGGAAGAGGAGCAGGAAGAGAGGGAGAAAGAGGAGGGUGAAAAGAGGAAGAGGAGGAAAAGAAGAAUAGGGAGAAGGGUGAAGAGGAGGUGGAAGAGGAGAAAGUGGAAGAGGGAGGGGGAAUGAAGAAGAGGAAGAGGAGGAAGAUGAAGGGAAAGAGGAGGAGGAGGAAAAUGAAGAGAUGGAGGAGGACGAACAAGAAGAGGAAGGAGGUCAUUUUUUAAAUCAGCAGUAACUUUCUUGUCGAACAAGAAGAAAAAGUGAGUCUCCUUAAGUGUGUAAAACUGUUAAAGACUAAAUGAGAACCUCCCCCUCUCUCUCUCCCCCUCUGUCUAAAUCAAUCAAUAAUUCCCUUGUCGUUACUGCAGCAUGAAGCCAAUCAGGAUAAAACAGGGAAUUAUAUUCAUGAAACAACAAAGUGCUCAGACAGCAAAACAAAUUGUGAGAGCGUACUUGUCUGUGUUGUAUGUGUGUAUGUGUGUGUGUAUGUGUGUGUGUGUGUGUUUGUGUGUGUGUGUGUGUGUGUGUGUGUGUGUGAGACAAAUGUCAAUAAGUUUUCCAUAGAAAACAAACAGUGUCGCUGAAAUGAGAUGGAGAAUGACAUGUUAGUCAUUUAAGCAUGAAGGAGAAAAAAACACAUUGAACCUGUAUAUAUUUAUAUACAGUAUAUAUACACAUACAAUAUAUAUACGGGUUCAGCUGGUUUCAGUGACCACCACAUCAUCACUGUGGACCUGAUCACUUCACCGGGUCAAUGGAUAAAGUCCAACUAGUGCUUUAAUAACAUUUAUAUUACGAGACUGCUCUCUCACUCUGCUAGAGCUCCUCUCUCUCCUCUGUCCUCGUCCUUCUGGACGUCUCUGCUGCAUUUGACACAGUCAACCACCAGAUCCUUAUUUCCUUCCUUCAGGAACUUGGUGUCUCAGGCUCUGCUCUCUCCCUUCUCUCGUCCUACCUUGACGGCUGCACCUACCGGGUAACCUGGAGAGGAUCUGUGUCGGAACCUUGUUCUCUUACUACGGGAGUUCCUCAGGGUUCCGUCCUGGGUCCCCUCCUCUUCUCGCUCUACACCAACUCUCUCAGCGCUGUCAUCCGCUCGCAUGGCUUCUCCUACCACAGCGAUGCUGAUGACACCAACUAAUUCUCUCCUUCCCUCACUCGGAUCUCUGUCUGUCUGACUGACAUCUCUCAGUGGAUCCGCCCACCAUCUGAAAAUCAACCCCGAGACUACUUCUCUUUCCAGGAAAAGAUUCUCCUUCACAGGACCUGACUGUUAACUUUGAGACUCCGUGUUAACGCCCACUUUGACUGCAGGAACUUCGGCGUGACAUCGACAGCCGACUCUCCCUGACUCCAACAUCACGGACAACAUCCUGUAGAUACUCGCUCUACAACAUCAGGAGAACACGUCCACUUCUCACCCAGAAGGCUGCUCAG